GUUUUGGAUGUAUGAUAUUGUGCUGUAUGUUUCGCUAAGACUGUUUCUUGACUUUUGAAUUCUUGUACAUUUCACGGUACACUUUAUAAUACAUUUCAUGAAUAAUCUAUUAUAAAUAUUUAGAUUAUGGUAAAUGUUACAAAAGCUUCUAAAUAGAUUUCAAGGACUUUGUUCAGCUUAAACUACGUACAGCUCCUUUCCAGGCUCCCACCUUCUCGCAAAGUUGAUCUCCUCUAACAGAAUAGCUGGACUUGUAUCCUUAAUUCAUGAGAAAUGAUCUUCACAAAAUGCCUACACACUACAGUACCUUACCUUUGACAAAGAAGUGAGAAUGAGACCAAGAGAACCUUGGGCUCAAAUGGGACUGGCUCAUGGUAUGGAACAACAUUUGUUCUUCAUCUAGAAACCUUUCCCAUCAGCUGGACUUAUUUCACUCCUGACAGUAGACUUAAACUACAGCUUGUAGAUAAUGAUCAACAUCACAAAUGCUCUUGUUCUGAAACAGGAACCAUUCUGCAUAAAUCUUGGCACUGUUUUCACCGUGGAUCUGCUUGGAAACACGUUUUAGGUCAAAUUCAAAGUAAGAUAUUUCCGUUCUGUUCUGUUCUUAUGCUGUGUCCCAAACCCGUAACUACACUGCUCCUUAAUAGUUAUGUAUAUUCACCACAGAAUACAGGAACUACACUGCUCCUUAAUAGUUAUGUAUAUUCACCACAGAAUACAGGAACUGCACUGCUCCUUAAUAGUUAUGUAUAUUCACCACAGAAUACAGGAACUACACUGCUCCUUAAUAGUUAUGUAUAUUCACCACAGAAUACAGGAACUGCACUGCUCCUUAAUAGUUAUGUAUAUUCACCACAGAAUACAAGAACUACACUGCUCCUUAAUAGUUAUGUAUAUUCACCACAGAAUACAGGAACUACACUGCUCCUUAAUAGUUAUGUAUAUUCACCACAGAAUACAAGAACUACACUGCUCCUUAAUAGUUAUGUAUAUUCACCACAGAAUACAGGAACUGCACUGCUCCUUAAUAGUUAUGUAUAUUCACCGCAGAAUACAAGAACUACACUGCUCCUUAAUAGUUAUGUAUAUUCACCACAGAAUACAAGAACUACACUGCUCCUUAAUAGUUAUGUAUAUUCACCACAGAAUACAGAACUACACUGCUCCUUAAUAGUUAUGUAUAUUCACCACAGAAUACAGGAACUGCACUGCUCCUUAAUAGUUAUGUAUAUUCACCACAGAAUACAAGAACUACACUGCUCCUUAAUAGUUAUGUAUAUUCACCACAGAAUACAGGAACUACACUGCUCCUUAAUAGUUAUGUAUAUUCACCACAGAAUACAGGAACUACACUGCUCCUUAAUAGUUAUGUAUAUUCACCACAGAAUACAGGAACUACACUGCUCCUUAAUAGUUAUGUAUAUUCACCACAGAAUACAGGAACUGCACUGCUCCUUAAUAGUUAUGUAUAUUCACCACAGAAUACAGGAACUGCACUGCUCCUUAAUAGUUAUGUAUAUUCACCACAGAAUACAAGAACUACACUGCUCCUUAAUAGUUAUGUAUAUUCACCACAGAAUACAGGAACUGCACUGCUCCUUAAUAGUUAUGUAUAUUCACCACAGAAUACAGGAACUACACUGCUCCUUAAUAGUUAUGUAUAUUCACCACAGAAUACAGGAACUACACUGCUCCUUAAUAGUUAUGUAUAUUCACCACAGAAUACAGGAACUACACUGCUCCUUAAUAGUUAUGUAUAUUCACCACAGAAUACAGGAACUACACUGCUCCUUAAUAGUUAUGUAUAUUCACCACAGAAUACAAGAACUACACUGCUCCUUAAUAGUUAUGUAUAUUCACCACAGAAUACAGGAACUACACUGCUCCUUAAUAGUUAUGUAUAUUGACCACAGAAUACAGGAACUACACUGCUCCUUAAUAGUUAUGUAUAUUCACCACAGAAUACAGGAACUACACUGCUCCUUAAUAGUUAUGUAUAUUCACCACAGAAUACAGGAACUACACUGCUCCUUAAUAGUUAUGUAUAUUCACCACAGAAUACAGGAACUGCACUGCUCCUUAAUAGUUAUGUAUAUUCACCACAGAAUACAAGAACUACACUGCUCCUUAAUAGUUAUGUAUAUUCACCACAGAAUACAGGAACUACACUGCUCCUUAAUAGUUAUGUAUAUUCACCACAGAAUACAAGAACUACACUGCUCCUUAAUAGUUAUGUAUAUUCACCACAGAAUACAGGAACUACACUGCUCCUUAAUAGUUAUGUAUAUUCACCACAGAAUACAGGAACUACACUGCUCCUUAAUAGUUAUGUAUAUUCACCACAGAAUACAGGAACUGCACUGCUCCUUAAUAGUUAUGUAUAUUCACCACAGAAUACAGGAACUACAACACUACGUAUUUGUCUUUUUCUGUUACAUCCUUUAAUUGAUUUAUUCCUUGUUUUAUCUCUCUUUUAUUCCUCGUUUCUCCCACUGCAUACUGCUUGUAUGUUACCUUAUAC
This is a long non-coding RNA of Oncorhynchus mykiss (rainbow trout), 2524 nucleotides long. The record is from Ensembl. NCBI's taxonomy places the organism in Eukaryota, Metazoa, Chordata, Actinopteri, Salmoniformes, Salmonidae.